AACGAACGCUGGCGGCAGGCUUAACACAUGCAAGUCGAACGGGCACCUUCGGGUGUCAGUGGCAGACGGGUGAGUAACGCGUGGGAACGUACCCUUCGGUUCGGAAUAACCCAGGGAAACUUGGGCUAACACCGGAUACGUCCGCAAGGAGAAAGAUUUAUCGCCGAAGGAUCGGCCCGCGUCGGAUUAGCUAGUUGGUGGGGUAAUGGCCCACCAAGGCGACGAUCCGUAGCUGGUCUGAGAGGAUGAUCAGCCACACUGGGACUGAGACACGGCCCAGACUCCUACGGGAGGCAGCAGUGGGGAAUAUUGGACAAUGGGCGAAAGCCUGAUCCAGCCAUGCCGCGUGAGUGAAGAAGGCCUUAGGGUUGUAAAGCUCUUUCAGCGGGAAGAUAAUG
RNAcentral lists this ribosomal RNA (398 nucleotides) under uncultured bacterium. Its description in RNAcentral is "bacterial SSU rRNA". It matches the Rfam family "Bacterial small subunit ribosomal RNA", at positions 29 to 453 of the family's 1533-position model. The record is from RNAcentral.